This 350-nucleotide ribosomal RNA is filed under the name uncultured bacterium. RNAcentral's name for it is "bacterial SSU rRNA". It matches the Rfam family "Bacterial small subunit ribosomal RNA", at positions 355 to 722 of the family's 1533-position model. The record is from RNAcentral.
UGGGGAAUAUUGGACAAUGGGGGCAACCCUGAUCCAGCCAUGCCGCGUGAGUGAUGACGGUCUUAGGAUUGUAAAGCUCUUUCACCGGAGACGAUAAUGACGGUAUCCGGAGAAGAAGCCCCGGCUAACUUCGUGCCAGCAGCCGCGGUAAUACGAAGGGGGCUAGCGUUGUUCGGAAUUACUGGGCGUAAAGCGCACGUAGGCGGACCAAUCAGUCAGGGGUGAAAUCCCGGGGCUCAACCCCGGAACGGCCUUUGAUACUGUUGGUCUAGAGUGUGAGAGAGGUGAGUGGAAUUGCGAGUGUAGAGGUGAAAUUCGUAGAUAUUCGCAGGAACACCAGUGGCGAAGGC